RNAcentral lists this ribosomal RNA (216 nucleotides) under Glomeromycotina sp. RNAcentral describes it as "partial small subunit ribosomal RNA". The stretch from base 87 to 216 matches the Rfam family "Eukaryotic small subunit ribosomal RNA", at positions 733 to 864 of the family's 1831-position model. The record is from RNAcentral. Lineage: Eukaryota; Fungi; Glomeromycota.
GGGUCAGUAGGUUGGUCGUGCCACCGGUACGUACUGGUCUCACUGAUUCCUCCUCCCUGAAGAACCGUAAUGCCAUUAAUUUGGUGUUGCGGGGAAACAGGACUGUUACUUUGAAAAAAUUAUAGUGUUUAAAGCAAGCUAACGCUUGAAUACAUUAGCAUGGAAUAAUGAAAUAGGACGAUCGAUCCUAUUUUGUUGGUUUCUAGGAUUGACGUA